Molecule: ribosomal RNA, 1339 nt
Filed under: metagenome
Description: bacterial SSU rRNA
Rfam family: Archaeal small subunit ribosomal RNA
Source: RNAcentral
GAUAAUUUGCCCUUAGGUCUGGAAUAACCUCGGGAAACUGAGGCUAACACCGGAUAUGAGAUUGGUACUGGAAUGUUCUUUCUCAGAAAGGUAACGCCUAAGGAUAAGUCGGCGGCUGAUUAGGUUGUUGGUGAGGUAACGGCCCACCAAGCCUAGGAUCAGUAGGGGGGAUGAGAGUCCUAGCCCCGAGAAGGGCACUGAGAUACUGGCCCUAGCCCUAAGGGGUGCAGCAGGCGCGGAAACUUUACAAUGCACGAAAGUGUGAUAAGGGGAUUCCAAGUGCUUUGUCUUCGGAUAAAGCUUUUGUCAAGUGUAAGAAGCUUGGCGAAUAAGUGGUGGGUAAGACGGGUGCCAGCCGCCGCGGUAACACCUGCGCCACAAGUGGCAAUCGCAAUUAUUGGGUCUAAAGCGUUCGUAGCCGGUUUAGAAAGUCUCUUGUGAAAUUGUUGAGCUUAACUUAACAGCGUGCAAGGGAAACUUCUAAACUAGAGACUGGGAGGAGACAGAAGUAUUCUAGGGGGAGCGGUAAAAUGUUAUAAUCCUUAGAAGACUACCAGUGGCGGAGGCGUCUGUCUAGAACAGGCCUGACGGUGAGGAACGAAGGCUAGGGGAGCAAAACGGAUUAGAUACCCGAGUAGUCCUAGCAGUAAACACUGUAAGCUAUGUGUUGCAUAUUCUUAGUGAAUAUGCAGUGCCUAAGUGAAGACGUUAAGCUUACCACCUGGGAAGUACGGUCGCAAGACUGAAACUUAAAGGAAUUGGCGGGGGCUCACUACAAGGGGUGAAGAGUGCGGUUCAAUUGGAUUCCACGCCGGAAAUCUCACCAGGGGCGACGGCAGAAUGAAGGUCAGAUUGAAGGUUUUACCUGACAAGCCGAGAGGUGGUGCAUGGCCGACGCCAGCUCGUGCCGUGAGGUGUCACGUUAAGUCGUGCAACGAGCAAGACCCAUAUCCACUUUUACCAUCAGGUCCUACGGGAUGACUGGGUACAAUAUGGAGACUGCCUUCGUAAGGAGGAGGAAGGUGUGGGCAACGUUAGGUCCGUAUGCCCCGAAUCUCCUGGGCUACACGCGCUCUGCAAUGGUGGAGACAAUAGGAUGCAACUCCGAAAGGAGAAGCCAACCCAAGAAACUCCAUCUUAGUCCGAAUUGAGGAUUGUAACUCAUCCUCAUGAAACCGGAAUCCCUAGUAAUCGGACUUCAUUACGGUCCGGUGAAUACUGUCCCUGAGCCUUGCACACACUGCCCGUCAAACCAACCGAGCAGGGUUUAGAUGAGGUGCAGUCUUGUUGAUUGCAUCAAAUCUAAGUUCAGUAAGGUGGGUUAAGUCGUCACAAGGUA